This 482-nucleotide ribosomal RNA is filed under the name uncultured bacterium. RNAcentral describes it as "partial 16S ribosomal RNA". It matches the Rfam family "Bacterial small subunit ribosomal RNA", at positions 30 to 507 of the family's 1533-position model. The record is from RNAcentral.
AUUGAACGCUGGCGGCAUGCUUUACACAUGCCAGUCGAACGGUAACAGGCCGCAAGGUGCUGACGAGUGGCGGACGGGUGAGUAAUGCAUCGGAACGUGCCCAGUCGUGGGGGAUAACUACUCGAAAGAGUAGCUAAUACCGCAUACGAUCUAUGGAUGAAAGCGGGGGACCGUAAGGCCUCGCGCGAUUGGAGCGGCCGAUGUCAGAUUAGGUAGUUGGUGGGGUAAAGGCUCACCAAGCCAACGAUCUGUAGCUGGUCUGAGAGGACGACCAGCCACACUGGGACUGAGACACGGCCCAGACUCCUACGGGAGGCAGCAGUGGGGAAUUUUGGACAAUGGGCGCAAGCCUGAUCCAGCAAUGCCGCGUGCAGGAAGAAGGCCUUCGGGUUGUAAACUGCUUUUGUACGGAACGAAACGGCUCUGGUUAAUACCCGGGGCUAAUGACGGUACCGUAAGAAUAAGCACCGGCUAACUACGUG